RNAcentral lists this long non-coding RNA (222 nucleotides) under Jatropha curcas. RNAcentral's name for it is "long non-coding RNA (JCUR_LNC003474)". Lineage: Eukaryota; Viridiplantae; Streptophyta; Magnoliopsida; Malpighiales; Euphorbiaceae. The record is from RNAcentral.
GAGUAAUUCUCCUAUCAUCAGAAUAUUUUUUUUAUUAAUUCAACUACAACUGACAUUUUACUCCCAAUUAAAGAUAGUAAUUGUCUAUCUAAUUCAAAGAAACUCCUAACGAUGAAUAAUCCGAUUGGCACACCAAAAUAUACGACCUGGUAAUAGAUUCAAAUUCGAAUCCCACAUCCCCAAUAUUCGAAAAAAGCCGAUUGAAACGAAUCCAAAACGACU